Poecilia latipinna (sailfin molly) is the source of this 929-nucleotide long non-coding RNA. RefSeq lists it as uncharacterized. The transcript has 4 exons. Lineage: Eukaryota; Metazoa; Chordata; Actinopteri; Cyprinodontiformes; Poeciliidae. The record is from RefSeq and is a predicted model, not a curated record.
GCAAAACUCAAGAGAGAUCGGUUGUUCCCUCCCACCUGGAAGCCCGGCUCGCACUGACAGGAGAAGGAUCCGGGGACGUUGACGCAGCGGUGCUGGCAGUACCUGAACCUGCACUCGUCUAUGUCUGGAGGAUCUGAGCCAAGAAGUAAACUACACAGCCACGUUAUCUUGGCUCCAGCGAGCAGCCAAGUGCAGCAUGGGGAGUGGAACAGACAGCAGGGCAGUCGGGCAGCUGUGACGUUUUAUGGCCUGUACCAGACAGCUGGGAUAGAGGAUGACGACCAUCAACCUUUUCAGUGAGGAAGGAAUCAGUGAAAUGGAGGAAAACUCACGGGUGAAUCUUCCCCAGUGGGUCUCGUUUCGCCUCCCGCUGACCGGUGUGUCCGUCCGCUGGCUGCGAUCGACCCAGAUGAGCUGGCAUUCACUGGUGAUCCCUUCCACCGCUGCCUGUGUGACCCUGAGAGAGUGAGCGGGGAGCCCGACAGCUGGAGCAGAUGAACACAUGCCGAGGGAGGGAGAGGAGGAGGGAGAGACGGGGUAGGACGGCCCAUUCUUACCCCCCCGCUGGCCCCCUGCGCUGCCACCCUCCACCCCUCCCUGACCCCCCCAGGCGGGGUUGCCAGAUCUGACUGACAGUUUCCAGCCCAAACACAACGUAAAACCCGCCCAACUCCCAAGAAAAGAAGAAAGAAAAAUCCCUCCCAAAUCUCAACGUGAAGAGUUGGGGAGUUACUUUUACUUUAGUAACUUUUAGCAAAGAAUAUACUUUCAGGAGUAUUUUUACUGGUCUGUGCUUUUUACUUUGGCCUGAGUAAUUUCUGCUCUGACUCAGAGGUGAGCAGUGUACCCAUCUGAUUUCCAUAGAAAAGGCAGCUGUAAAUUAUUGUAAAUCUGAAACAUAAAAUCCAGCAUCAUUACUGUGUUUAAAU